AAAUCAUCACAGCUGAGGUUGGACAGGAGAAAUUCACUCUGCCAUGUCGAGCUCCAAACAACAAAACCAUCAGAGCCGUAAAGUGGAGCAGAGCUGACCUGGGAGAUCAAUAUAUCCUUUUGUACCGGAAUAAGCAUUUUGUUCCAGAUGACCAGCAUCCAUCUUUUAAGAACCGGGUGGAUCUGCAGGACAGACAGAUGAAGGAUGGAGACGUGUCUUUGAUUCUGAAGAAUGUGACGAUUAAUGACACUGGAACAUACGAGUGUGUUGUUCUCCAGACAGGUUUGGAGCUCAUCAACAGCACCAACCUGAUUGUUGUUCCUCCAGGUCAGACAGGAGGAGACACAGAGGAUGGAUCUGUUGGACUGAUCGUUGGUCUGAUAGUUUUUGCUCUGCUUGUUGUUCUUGUUGCUGCUGCUGGAUUUUUGAUAUACAGAAAACAUGAAAAAACAAAGACUCAGGAUCCGUACCAUCAACCUGCUGAACUGCAGCCUGUUUGAAACGUCUCAGUUUUUUUUUUUUUUUUUAGCAGCUGAAAUCGGAGUCUCCUGCAUAUCCUGACUUUCGGUAGUGUUAUUGAACAUCUAGAGGACAGACAUCAGUCAGCUAUCAGUGUAGUUAAGUUAUUAUACUUGUUUGUUUGUUUUUUGUUUGCUUUCUUUGCAACAGUAUUAGCUAUUAGGUUGUUUUAUCUUUCAGGUUAGGUUUGAUUCUUAAACAGUACUAUUUACACUUUUGCCUUUUUUAUAUGUGGAACAUUCAGGAAGUCUGAUCAGUGAUAUUCAACAGAAAACAUUCAGUUUCAACAGAAAUACAUUUGUUCACAGUGAUGAAUUCAGCGUCGUCUCUGUCACAAUAUCAGAAUCAGUGAGUUUGUUUCAUCUUCAGGUUCAGCUGUUUGUGAGGUCAGACUCGCAGACUGAUCCUCAUGUUUAGAUGUUACACAAUAAUUACAGACACUGACUGACAACAAAAAACACAACACAAAGUGCUCAGGGUCCAUUUAUCAGCUAGAACUGAACGAUUGAAUAAUCUGAUAUUAUUAUGAAACCAAAGAGAAAUGUGUUACAUGGAGCUGCAGAGUCACAUGUUUCCUCUGAUCUAUGAAGCCUUAACUUGUUCCUCCAUGAAGGAGACUCUUCAGCCUAUUACUUCAGUUUAAACACAUCAAGAUUAUUUAUUAAUUAUUUUUGUAUACACAUUUGUUUAUCGAUAAAGUUUUACAUGUGUUACUCUACAAGGUUUUUCUUUGCUUCCUGUGGCUGUAAACAUUUUCUGACCUGCUGUUUGAGUCUGCGCAGAUCUCACCUUGAAUGUAAUGGUGUGAACAUUUAUACAUUUAGCCUGACAUUAUUAAAACCUAAGCUCUAUGUAAGCUCAGUAGCGCCCCCUCUCAAUGUUAGGAGGUAAAUGACAGAGCUGAAACCCUGGCUGUUAAUGAGAUAUUAACAGUAAGAGUAAGAGGUGUGUUAUUGAGCACAACACUGUAUACAGUUUUGUGCAUUAACAUCUUUGUGCCCACAAUAUGGAACAAUUGUGUUAAAUUUCUGCCAUGUUAAUGAGAAGAGCUUCAAGUUGAUUUGUCCUUUGUAGUGAUUAAACAUUCAUAUUUUACAAUACACUUUCUAGGCGAGGUAGCUUCUGUGCUAAAAAAAACGCAUGCUUUCUUCUGUAAUGUGUCUGCCUGACCAGAACAUAUUCUGUUCAUAUCCAUAUAAUAAACAAACUCUAAAAGAUAAACAAA
Neolamprologus brichardi is the source of this 1744-nucleotide non-coding RNA. NCBI's taxonomy places the organism in Eukaryota, Metazoa, Chordata, Actinopteri, Cichliformes, Cichlidae. The record is from RefSeq and is a predicted model, not a curated record.